This 406-nucleotide ribosomal RNA is filed under the name uncultured bacterium. RNAcentral describes it as "partial 16S ribosomal RNA". It matches the Rfam family "Bacterial small subunit ribosomal RNA", at positions 30 to 526 of the family's 1533-position model. The record is from RNAcentral.
AUUGAACGCUGGCGGCAGGCCUAACACAUGCAAGUCGAACGCGCGGCGGACGGGUGUGAAAUAUCUCGGAACCUCCCUAAUGUAGGGGGAUAACUCUUGGAAACGCUGGCUAUAAUCGCAUCCCAUCACAUGUGUCCAGAUGGGAGUUGCUAGUAGGUGGGGUAACGGCUCACCUAGGCGACGCUCCCUAGCUGGUCUGAGAGGAUGAGCCGCAACACUGGAACGGAGACACGGUCCAGACUCCGACGGGAGGCAGCAGUGGGGAAUAUUGCACAAUGGGCGCAAGCCUGAUGCAGCCAUGCCGCGUGUGGGAAGAAGGCCUUCGGGUUGUAAAGCACGUUCAGCGGGGAGGCGUUACCCGCAGAAGAAGCACCGGCUAACUCCGUGCCAGCAGCCGCGGUAAUUC